This 64-nucleotide transfer RNA is filed under the name Ocypus brunnipes. Its description in RNAcentral is "tRNA-Tyr". It matches the Rfam family "tRNA". Rfam says of the family: Transfer RNA (tRNA) molecules are approximately 80 nucleotides in length. Their secondary structure includes four short double-helical elements and three loops (D, anti-codon, and T loops). Lineage: Eukaryota; Metazoa; Arthropoda; Insecta; Coleoptera; Staphylinidae. The record is from RNAcentral.
GGUAAGAUGGCUGAGGAUAGGCGAUAAACUGUAAAUUUAUUUAUGAAUUGAGAUUCUCUUACCA